Molecule: long non-coding RNA, 1152 nt
Organism: Betta splendens (Siamese fighting fish)
Lineage: Eukaryota; Metazoa; Chordata; Actinopteri; Anabantiformes; Osphronemidae
Exons: 6
Source: RefSeq, a predicted model, not a curated record
UUCAACAAUAAAAAUUCUUGUUUUGUGUCUGAACAUAAUAAAAUCACGUAAAUGUAACGACUUCAACAGGUUACAUCAAUAUUUUAUGUUAACUCAACGUAAUAAAAAUAGGUUUAGACAACAACAUGUCCAGAGCUGAAGGUGGCAGUAAUGAGCAAAUUCACAACUUGGACUACGGCCCUGCCGCUUCUUCAGGAUCCUGACGUAAAGGAAAACACCUGUUCAUGAUGUGUGCAAGAAGGUGUUAGAGCAGAGAACUACUGGAAACGGAAAACAGAAGUACAGAGACUUGCCCUAAUGGAAAGUGUCCCAUUCUAGAGCUGAGAAGAGACAGCAGGACAGGGAAUCAUCUGCUAGUGUCGCGUCAGAUGUCUACAUGUCCACAAGUUGUUUAAGAAAAAGUAAGGUAAGAGGGAAUGAAAAGAAAUAAGAUAAAUAGACUCUAAGGUAUUUGGAGAUGCAAGGAGUGCAGCGUGACUUUUUCUAGUAGAUACGACUAUUGCAAACACAAGGCAAGAAGUUAUCAGAGAUGAACCCUUCCUCACCGAGUUCAAAACCAGAUGGCCUGCUCUCUUCUGUGUUUCUGAGAAUAAAUUUAAGAGGACUACAACAGUUUGCUGCAACAGUUCUUCUCCAUGGUGGAUGGUUAUUCUUCAGACCUGAAAACGGUGUUUGGCAAGGAUGGCGGCAUUCAAGGACAAAAGAUUAAGAGCAUCAUGGUUCCCAUAACCCAGACUAACUCCAUUGAUGUCAGAAGAGUACAUCCUUUAAGCCCAGUGUGUGUUCCUCAAUGAAGAUCCUGGCAACCUUGUGAAAGAAUGGAUGAUCGUGGACGCCUUGAAGAAGCCAUGAUAGAGACAAUUCUUGAAGUUUUUGUCAUUCACAAAGAUGCAGAGGCAGAUGAUGACCCUGAAGAUGUAGUCAUCGUUUCAAGUCCUGGAUGAGUUGGGUAGUGUCCCACUUGCUGUGUUGUUGUUUGCUCUUGUUAUAUGCUCUCAACCUCAGCUACCCUCCACUAAAAGUUGUUUGAAAUAUUGGCCCAAUGCUGUAUGUACAAUACUGGAUGUUAGUGACAUUUUGUAGCUGCCUUUGACAUUUGAAAGCUGUUUUAUUGUUUUUAUGAAGCUUAUAAAGUAUUCUAACCAGUCUAAA